RNAcentral lists this unclassified non-coding RNA (330 nucleotides) under soil metagenome. Its description in RNAcentral is "partial contains 5.8S ribosomal RNA, internal transcribed spacer 2, and large subunit ribosomal RNA". The stretch from base 1 to 120 matches the Rfam family "5.8S ribosomal RNA", at positions 35 to 154 of the family's 154-position model. The record is from RNAcentral.
GAUGAAGAACGUAGCGAAAUGCGAUAAGUAAUGUGAAUUGCAGAAUUCAGUGAAUCAUCGAAUCUUUGAACGCACAUUGCGCCACUUGGUAUUCCGAGGGGCAUGCCUGUUCGAGCGUCAUUAUAACCCCUCAAGCUCAGCUUGGUGUUGGGGCCUGCUGCACUGGCAGCCCUUAAAAUCAGUGGCGGCGCCAUCUGGCUCUAAGCGUAGUAAUUCUUCUCGCUCUGGAGGUCCGGUCGUGUGCUCGCCAGCAACCCCCAAUUUUUUUCAGGUUGACCUCGGAUCAGGUAGGGAUACCCGCUGAACUUAAGCAUAUCAAUAAGCGGAGGA